AUAGCUGGUUUCUCAAGAAAAGAAUUUAAGUCCAACCUAAAGUAAUCUCGAUUCACAUAAAUCCCCAUACCACUUUAGAGCAAUUCAAAUGAGGUACAGCCCAUUUGAUACAGGAUACAACCUUAACUAACGGGUAACAUUAAAUCUACACCUUCAAGUAGGCCUAAGAGCAGCCACCAUUAAAAGCGUCAAAGCUUAAUCAUGUUUUCAUCAAUUUAAAAUCCCCCAUUGACCCCUUUAACUUUACUGAGAAUUUCUAUAUCGUAUAGAACAUUUUAUGCUAAAACUAGUAACAAGAGAAAACCCUCUCCCAAUGCAAACAAAAGCCAGCAAGAACCCAUCACUGGCAACUAACAGACCUAAACAAAAGUAACAAAAUCACUAGAAAACCCUACUUCUCACAACUGUUAACCUAACACUAGAGCAUUUCAGGGAAGAUUAAAAGAAAAAGAAGGAACUCGGCAAACACUAAUCCCGCCUGUUUACCAAAAACAUCGCCUCUUGUCCCUAUAAGAGGUCAAGCCUGCCCAGUGACUUUGUUCAACGGCCGCGGUAUCCUAACCGUGCGAAGGUAGCGUAAUCACUUGUUUUCUAAAUAAAGACCAGUAUGAAAGGCAUCACGAGGAUUAAACUGUCUCCUUUUUCCAAUCAGUGAACCUAAUCUCCCCGUGAAGAAGCGGGGAUUAUUUUAUAAGACG
Molecule: ribosomal RNA, 698 nt
Filed under: Pristimantis gloria
Lineage: Eukaryota; Metazoa; Chordata; Amphibia; Anura; Strabomantidae
Description: partial 16S ribosomal RNA
Rfam family: Bacterial large subunit ribosomal RNA
Source: RNAcentral